RNAcentral lists this ribosomal RNA (885 nucleotides) under Agaricus grandiomyces. RNAcentral's name for it is "eukaryotic LSU rRNA". It matches the Rfam family "Eukaryotic large subunit ribosomal RNA", at positions 64 to 937 of the family's 3401-position model. Lineage: Eukaryota; Fungi; Basidiomycota; Agaricomycetes; Agaricales; Agaricaceae. The record is from RNAcentral.
ACUAACAGGAUUCCCCUAGUAACUGCGAGUGAAGCGGGAAAAGCUCAAAUUUAAAAUCUGGCGGUCUAUGGCUGUCCGAGUUGUAAUCUAGAGAAGUAAUGCCCGUGCUGGACCGUGUAUAAGUCUCCUGGGAUGGGGCGUCAUAGAGGGUGAGAAUCCCGUCUUUGACACGGACUACCAGUGCAUUGUGGUAUGCUCUCAAAGAGUCGAGUUGUUUGGGAAUGCAGCUCAAAAUGGGUGGUAAAUUCCAUCUAAAGCUAAAUAUUGGCGAGAGACCGAUAGCGAACAAGUACCGUGAGGGAAAGAUGAAAAGAACUUUGGAAAGAGAGUUAAACAGUACGUGAAAUUGCUGAAAGGGAAACGCUUGAAGUCAGUCGCGUUGGCCAGGGAUCAGCCUUGCUUUUGCAUGGUGUACUUUCUGGUUGACGGGUCAGCAUCAAUUUUGACCGCUGGAAAAGGGCCUGGGGAAUGUAGCAGCUUCGGCUGUGUUAUAGCCCCUGGUCGCAUACGGUGGUUGGGAUUGAGGAACUCAGCACGCCGCAAGGCCGGGUUUCGACCACGUUCGUGCUUAGGAUGCUGGCAUAAUGGCUUUAAGCGACCCGUCUUGAAACACGGACCAAGGAGUCUAACAUGCCUGCGAGUAUUUGGGUGGAAAACCCGAGUGCGCAAUGAAAGUGAAAGUUGAGAUCCCUGUCGUGGGGAGCAUCGACGCCCGGACCAGAACUUUUGGGACGGAUCCGCGGUGGAGCAUGUAUGUUGGGACCCGAAAGAUGGUGAACUAUGCCUGAAUAGGGUGAAGCCAGAGGAAACUCUGGUGGAGGCUCGUAGCGAUUCUGACGUGCAAAUCGAUCGUCAAAUUUGGGUAUAGGGGCGAAAGACUAAUCG